AUAUUAUAAUCACUCCACUUCCUUCCCAAUUCUUGUUAGUCAACGUCUCCCCCAAAAUGAAAUGGGAAAGAUUCAGAGAGACAAAUUCAGAAAAACAGGAGAGAGAAAAGGCAGCAGCAUAUUUGGUUUAAUGUGGAGGAACAACUACUCAUCUGAGCUCAAGCUCAUCUUUAUUGCUCUCCUCCUUUUCUGCUCCGUUGCCACCCUCUUUCAAUUCCUACCCACCCGCUUUCUCCCCUUUUCUACCUCCGAUGUCACCUCCUGCCCCACCACCACCACCACCCCACCACCUCCUCAACAACCCUCCGAUCAGAUCCUUGACAACGGAGUCUUAAAACGCUCCUUCUACGUUGUGGGGACCGCCGCGUACAAUUUCGUCUUUAUGUCCGCCUACCGCGGAGGUCCCAACACCUUCGCCGUCAUCGGGCUCUCCUCCAAACCCCUCCACGACUACGGUCAUCCCACCUACAACUGCGAGUACCAGUCCAACAACGGUUCACAUUUUGCAGUCUCAGGGCAAAAACUUUCUUUCCAGGACUUCGGGUUCGCCCGUGCCUAUGUCGUAGUAGUUGUCAAUUGUACAUUCCCUACAGGUACGGACUCUUCUACGGGUGGCCGUCUCCUCCUCCACGCCUCCACUAACGGCGGCUACGAUCGGGAUAUUAACUCAAUUGACACGAUCAUAGCCUUAAACGAACCCCCAAAUUCGUGGCAUCCAUCACAAUUUCUCGCCCCUCCUAAAUACGACUACUUCUACUGCGGUAGCUCAUUGUUCGGUAACCUCAGCCCUCAGAGAGUCCGCGAGUGGAUUGCGUAUCACAUCAGACUGUUCGGAACGAAAUCUCAUUUUGUGUUCAACGAUGCAGGUGGUAUACACCCUGAAGUAAUGGGUGUACUUUUGCCAUGGAUUGAUCUUGGGUUUGUUACAAUACACGAUAUCAAAUAUCAAGAGGAAUUCGAUGGGUUUUAUCAUAACCAAAUGCUUAUACUAAAUGAUUGCUUACAUAGACAUCAAUUCGAUACGAAAUGGAUGUUCUUUUUUGAUGUGGAUGAGUAUAUUUUUUUGCCCGGGGAAUCGUCUCUUGAUUCGAUCAUGGAAACGCUCAAGGAGACAAGGAUUAUACUCUAAUCAAUUUUCAACAAGUAUCUAUGUCAAACAGACUCUGCUUAGCUGAGGAUGCUGGCCAAAUUAAAAUUAACAACCGACAAGCACACACGGCAACACCCACUCCCUCCAGACCACCGCCCAGGCGCCCAGACACAAGUCAGAAGUCGCCACCGCCCACCAAACGUCCAGACCAGCAGCGACUACACGAUGUACAUCCUGCAACGACGAGUCGACGACUACACCCUGCAUCUGCAUCUCACUGAUCAACAAGAACCACGGAUUCUUACUCUUGCAAUAUUGUGUAUAAUUAUAUUGAAGAUGGAGAGCUCUCAAUCCAAAAGAUCUGCUGCUUUUUCUGAAGAAAUGUCACAGCCACUUUCUGAAAAGGAUAUGGAAGAAUUGCAAUCUACUUUGCCUCCAGAUAAGAAGUUAAAAGCGGGGCGGGAAUCGAAUGGAACAGAAAAAGUAAGAGGAUAUGGAAGAAAAUUUGAAAGAGUUACAAGAAAUGGAGAAAGAGGUGCAACAUGAUGUAUCUAACGAUGGAGACGAUGAAGUUGUUUUCGUUGACUCAUUAGUGUGAAUCAAGCAAUCAAAGGGAAAGCAACUCGCCAAAAUUCAAGUUGUCUUUGGAUAAUUUAUGUAUUUCUAGUAUUUGAGACGUAGAGACUUUAUGUAAUUUAAUGAAUUAUUUGUUAUAUUUGAGACUUAUAGAUUUUAUGUA
This is an RNA transcript of Chenopodium quinoa (quinoa), 1829 nucleotides long. RefSeq lists it as uncharacterized. The transcript is spliced from 5 exons. Lineage: Eukaryota; Viridiplantae; Streptophyta; Magnoliopsida; Caryophyllales; Amaranthaceae. The record is from RefSeq and is a predicted model, not a curated record.